Molecule: non-coding RNA, 30 nt
Filed under: Homo sapiens (human)
Lineage: Eukaryota; Metazoa; Chordata; Mammalia; Primates; Hominidae
Source: RNAcentral
AUGCUGUGUUAGUUGUUGACAGUGCCUGGU